UCGAGCGGGUCCCUCUUAGACCUGCUUUCGUUUCUAUCUUCCAAAUGUGAUCCGAAUCUCAGCAAUGGAAGCGUUAGAUCAAAGAUUGAAGAUCUAAACUGGGAUCCAUGCGGGAGUUGUCGGGAGAUUCACGGACUGAUGCGAUUCCCCGGCAGGUGAAUCUUGCCUUCUGCUAAACUGGAGAACCCUGAACUUGUGGCGUGGUUAGAACCAGUUGCUGAGUUGCUUGAUUUGGAUCUGAAAGAGGGUUGUCGGCUGGAUUGCUUAAGCAAGCUACAUACACAAUAGCACGACUUGGGUCAUUUAGAUCAAUAAGGGACGUCCCUGUAUUCAAGGAACGGUUUCAACAUGACAAUGAUGGUAAACUUAACUCUAAAUAUUACCUUUAUAAUUAGAAUUUGUGCUCUUUAUUGUCUGUUUUUGAAUUAUAAUUUUUUAUAUAAUUGACACCUUUUAUCUCGGAAUAUGAUCUAUGAAGUAGCAUAUGAACGCAAUCCUUAUCAAAAUCCACACCUAGGGGAGCUCAAAUAAGAGGAUUAAUCUUAACAGUAUGGUCGUCAUGCACAUAGACAGAAAAUGCUUGCAAAGAAUGUUUAUGAGUACUCGAUAAUUUUGGAGUCCUUCUUGGUUAGGGUUUGGGCUGAAAGUAUGAGUGUUGGAGCCGACGCUUUCGGAGUCCGAACUCAUUCUUUUGAAGAAUAGAAAAAUGGGAAUAUUAGUAAAUAUGGAUUUUCUUGUUAAGAAGAAAAUGGAAGAUGGAUUGAAAAAACAUCCAGUAGAUUUUUUCUUCUUCUUCUUCUUUUUUGCUUCAAGAGAGAGAGACGGAGAGGUGAGAGUGGGGAAAUCGAGGGAGAGAGUGGGGGAAUGAAGUGGCCGCGUGAGAUUUGAAAAUAGCGAGUGCAGUUUGGUUUGAAAAUGAUGUUUCGCAUGCGUGGCAUGCAUGUCCAUGAGAUGUGUUUGUGUCCAGCAGAUUACUUUUAGAUUGUGUUUGUGUUUGUGUCCAGCAGAUUACUUUCUUAUUGUUUUUAGCACAGAUCUAUUGUUGUGGGCCUCUCUCUCAUUUGAUGAUUGCAAUCUAUACCAUGUGCAAUUCAAAUGGUAGUGUGCUAUUACAGUAUGUGUUGCACGAGGUUCCUAGAACUACGGUGACCUUUUGUCCAAGGCAGGUAAUGUCUAUCUAUGCCAUCCAAUUCUCAGAUGAGGGGAGUGGCACAUCAUGAAUUUUUUGUAGCAUGGAGUAGUUUCCUAAGCUUAUCACUGGGAGGGAGCUGGUUGAUCUC
This is a long non-coding RNA of Magnolia sinica, 1280 nucleotides long. RefSeq lists it as uncharacterized. The record is from RefSeq and is a predicted model, not a curated record. NCBI's taxonomy places the organism in Eukaryota, Viridiplantae, Streptophyta, Magnoliopsida, Magnoliales, Magnoliaceae. The transcript is spliced from 4 exons.